RNAcentral lists this ribosomal RNA (486 nucleotides) under uncultured bacterium. Its description in RNAcentral is "partial 16S ribosomal RNA". It matches the Rfam family "Bacterial small subunit ribosomal RNA", at positions 30 to 507 of the family's 1533-position model. The record is from RNAcentral.
AUUGAGCGCUGGCGGCAUGCCUUACACAUGCCAGUCGAACGGCAGCACGGGUGCUUGCACCUGGUGGCGAGUGGCGAACGGGUGAGUAAUACAUCGGAACAUGUCCUGUAGUGGGGGAUAGCCCGGCGAAAGCCGGAUUAAUACCGCAUACGAUCCACGGAUGAAAGCGGGGGACCUUCGGGCCUCGCGCUAUAGGGUUGGCCGAUGGCUGAUUAGCUAGUUGGUGGGGUAAAGGCCUACCAAGGCGACGAUCAGUAGCUGGUCUGAGAGGACGACCAGCCACACUGGGACUGAGACACGGCCCAGACUCCUACGGGAGGCAGCAGUGGGGAAUUUUGGACAAUGGGCGAAAGCCUGAUCCAGCAAUGCCGCGUGUGUGAAGAAGGCCUUCGGGUUGUAAAGCACUUUUGUCCGGAAAGAAAUCCUUGACUCUAAUACAGUCGGGGGAUGACGGUACCGGAAGAAUAAGCACCGGCUAACUACGUG